GUCUAUGGUCAUACCACCCUGAACACAUCCCAUCUUGUCUAAUCUUGAAAGCUACGUAGGAUCAAGCCUGGUUAUUACUUGAAUGAGGAGACUACCAGUGAAUAUCUGGUGCUAUAGGCU
This 120-nucleotide ribosomal RNA is filed under the name Rattus norvegicus (Norway rat). Lineage: Eukaryota; Metazoa; Chordata; Mammalia; Rodentia; Muridae. The record is from RNAcentral.